AACGAACGCUGGCGGCAUGCCUAACACAUGCAAGUCGAACGAAGCCCUCGGGCUUAGUGGCGCACGGGUGCGUAACGCGUGGGAAUCUGCCCUUGGGUACGGAAUAACAGUUAGAAAUGACUGCUAAUACCGUAUGAUGUCUUCGGACCAAAGAUUUAUCGCCCAGGGAUGAGCCCGCGUUGGAUUAGGUAGUUGGUGGGGUAAAGGCCUACCAAGCCGACGAUCCAUAGCUGGUCUGAGAGGAUGAUCAGCCACACUGGGACUGAGACACGGCCCAGACUCCUACGGGAGGCAGCAGUGGGGAAUAUUGGACAAUGGGGGAAACCCUGAUCCAGCAAUGCCGCGUGAGUGAUGAAGGCCUUAGGGUUGUAAAGCUCUUUUACCCGGGAAGAUAAUGACUGUACCGGGAGAAUAAGCCCCGGCUAACUCCGUGCCAGCCGCCGCUGUAA
This 449-nucleotide ribosomal RNA is filed under the name uncultured bacterium. Its description in RNAcentral is "partial 16S ribosomal RNA". It matches the Rfam family "Bacterial small subunit ribosomal RNA", at positions 29 to 523 of the family's 1533-position model. The record is from RNAcentral.